GAUGAACGCUGGCGGCGUGCCUAAUACAUGCAAGUCGAGCGAACGGACGAGAAGCUUGCUUUUCUGAUGUUAGCGGCGGACGGGUGAGUAACACGUGGAUAACCUACCUAUAAGACUGGGAUAACUUCGGGAAACCGGAGCUAAUACCGGAUAAUAUUUUGAACCGCAUGGUUCAAAAGUGAAAGACGGUCUUGCUGUCACUUAUAGAUGGAUCCGCGCUGCAUUAGCUAGUUGGUAAGGUAACGGCUUACCAAGGCAACGAUGCGUAGCCGACCUGAGAGGGUGAUCGGCCACACUGGAACUGAGACACGGUCCAGACUCCUACGGGAGGCAGCAGUAGGGAAUCUUCCGCAAUGGGCGAAAGCCUGACGGAGCAACGCCGCGUGAGUGAUGAAGGUCUUCGGAUCGUAAAACUCUGUUAUUAGGGAAGAACAGAUGUGGAAGUAACUGUGCACAUCUUGACGGUACCUAAUCAAAAAGCCACGGCUAACUACGUG
RNAcentral lists this ribosomal RNA (497 nucleotides) under uncultured bacterium. RNAcentral's name for it is "partial 16S ribosomal RNA". It matches the Rfam family "Bacterial small subunit ribosomal RNA", at positions 28 to 507 of the family's 1533-position model. The record is from RNAcentral.